Molecule: long non-coding RNA, 703 nt
Filed under: Apteryx owenii (little spotted kiwi)
Lineage: Eukaryota; Metazoa; Chordata; Aves; Apterygiformes; Apterygidae
Description: lncRNA (ENSAOWG00000009726.1)
Source: RNAcentral
GGGAGGGGCGGGGGCGCGCUGUGGUGCGGGGCUCGGCGCGGUGCCCGCCGCCGUGUGGGGAGCGGGGGCCGCCGCCGCCCUUCGCCUGAGGGGAGCCGAGCGGAGCGGAGGGGGCCGGCGGCGGUUGGGGCAGAGUGAAAUUCCAUUUAAGAGACGUCUGACUAUUAAGAUAACCCGUUCCAGUGACAGCAUGUAAAGUGAAGUUCCUCUACAGAACUUGGCGGCCAGCUGGAGUAGUUAAAGAAGACCUGAAGCAAUGCUGGGAGCGCUCAAUGCUCCAUAUGAUUAUGGCUGCGCACCUUUUGCCCCCAACUGCCAUCUGCAUUUUCACUGGACCCAACCCUGUAAGCAAAUCAUCAAGCAGUGGAGGCUUGAGGUCUGGCUGCUCAAAGAAACUGCUAUCAUUUUACGAGGAAACAUGGCCUCGCUUGCACCAAAAUCUUUCCUUCCUGCAUUCCUCCUACCACAGCUGGCUGACAUCCUGCACAGAGCAGGCUGCUGAGCAGAGACAAAAUACACAACAUCUGCUGCCUUGCAUCUCUCAGCUUUUUCCACAGCAGCAAGCAUUAUGCAGUUCCCAGAGUGAAUUACUUGAUGGGAAGAAAAGAGGCAUCCUUUGGGGAUUCUGUGAUAAAACUGCUUCAAACAAAUGAACAAAAACUAUGACAGAAAUAAGAAUAAAGAAAUCAAUGCUUCAGAUCCA